This 233-nucleotide ribosomal RNA is filed under the name uncultured type II methanotroph. Its description in RNAcentral is "partial 16S ribosomal RNA". It matches the Rfam family "Bacterial small subunit ribosomal RNA", at positions 371 to 599 of the family's 1533-position model. The record is from RNAcentral. Lineage: Bacteria; Pseudomonadati; Pseudomonadota; Alphaproteobacteria; Hyphomicrobiales; Methylocystaceae.
AUGGGGGCAGCUGAUCCAGCCAUGCCGCGUGAGUGAGAAGGCCUUCGGGUUGUAAAGCUCUUUUGUCAGGGAAGAAAAGGUCGGGGUUAGUACCCUUGGCCGCUGACGGUACCUGGGGAAUAAGCGCCGGGUUACUACGUGCCAGCAGCCGCGGUAAUACGUAGGGUGCGAGCGUUAAUCGGAAUUACUGGGCGUAAAGCCGUGCCCAGGCGGUUUUGUAGUCAGAUGUGAAA